AUGGUUGGUCACCGGGUUGGCAAGGUACUGGAGCUCAGAGCAGUAGGAAGCCAUGGCGAUCUCCGUGCCCUUGAAGCCGUAGUCCAGGCUCGGGUUGCGGCUGCCUGCCAGGUUGGAGGUCAGCCCGUUGUUGUAGAACUCGUUGACGAGCUCCGAGAACUGCGCGAACAUGAGCUUGCCAAUGUUGGCGAUGGCGAGACGGGUGUUGUCCAUGGACACACCGAUGGGCGUGCCCUGGAAGUUGCCGCCAUGGAGUGCCUUGCCACGGUGGACGUCGAUGACGGGGUUGUCGUUGACGGAGUUGACCUCGCGCUCGAUGGACUUGGUGGCAGACCGGAUGACCUCGAUCUGGGGGCCGAGCCACUGCGGCGACGUGCGGAGCGCGUACCUGUCUUGCUUGGGCUUGAGCUGCGUGUCAAUCUCGUUGACCUUCUUGGCGUGGCCCAUGAAGGCGCUGCCGGCCAGGAUGUGCUCCAUGAUGGCCGCGGCCUCGAUGGAGCCGGGGUGGUGCUUGAGCUUGUGAGUGAGGUGGUCGGUGAACUCGGGCUUGCCGUUCAUCACCUCGCAGAAGACGGCGGACAGGACCUCGGAGAGAACAGCGAGGACGUUGCAGUCGAACAGCACCGUGGCCGCGAGUGCAGAGCCCACGGACGUGCCGUUGACAAUGGCGAGACCCUCCUUGGGGUUGAGCUUGAAGAAGCCGCCCUCGAUGCCAGCGGCCUUGAAUGCCUCGGCGGCGUCCACCUUCUUUCCAUCAACAGUGGUGGCCUGCGCGUUGGGGCGUCCGGUGAUGAGCCCGGCGAUGUAGGACAGUGGCACAAGGUCGCCGGAGGCGGUGAUGGUGCCCCGGAGCGGGAGGCAGGGGCUGACGCCGGUGUUGAUGAGCUUGGUGAUGGCCUCGAGGAUCUCGAAGCGGAUGCCGGAGUAGCCCUGGAGGAGGGGCGGGCCCGUCCUUGGUGCGGCGGUGGGAGGUGCCGCCGAAGCCGGUGGUGA
Molecule: ribosomal RNA, 993 nt
Filed under: Triticum aestivum (bread wheat)
Lineage: Eukaryota; Viridiplantae; Streptophyta; Magnoliopsida; Poales; Poaceae
Description: partial small subunit ribosomal RNA
Source: RNAcentral